CCAGGCCCACUCCCCUUCUCACACCACCUCUCUAUCUCUUUCUGUGACCCCUUCUCCUCCUUCCCAUACCCCUUCUCCUUCAACUUCAAACUCACCUUCUCAGCCCCCCUCACCCUCUAUUGGCUUAACUUUCUCUCCGCCCCCCUCGCCCUCUCAAUCAGACCCACCCUCUGAAAUUACAUCCCCAAUCCAGCCUCCUUCCCCCAUCCAGCCUCCUUCCCCCAUCCCUCCUCCUUCCCCAAUCCCUCCUCCUUCCCCCAUCCAGCCGCCUUCCCCACCCAGUGAGUGGGCAGAAGAAGCCCCUGCUGAAUUAACUGUCAACCAUCAUGUUGCAGAGGAAAAUGUUGCCGUUGGAGAUCCCACAUCUUUUGCGGACAUUAUUGGCAACAUGAGGAUACAUCUCCAGGCCUUGCUGGGUCUUGUUGACCAAAUGCAAACGUUGUUUUAAUUUUUGUUUAAAAAAAAAAUAAAAAUAUGUUUAUAUUAUAAAAAAACCAAAACAAAAACAAAAAAUAAAAUUUGUUUUCAAGUUAA
Pseudophryne corroboree (corroboree frog) is the source of this 534-nucleotide long non-coding RNA. RefSeq lists it as uncharacterized. The record is from RefSeq and is a predicted model, not a curated record. The transcript is spliced from 2 exons. Lineage: Eukaryota; Metazoa; Chordata; Amphibia; Anura; Myobatrachidae.